RNAcentral lists this ribosomal RNA (251 nucleotides) under uncultured bacterium. Its description in RNAcentral is "partial 16S ribosomal RNA". It matches the Rfam family "Bacterial small subunit ribosomal RNA", at positions 524 to 776 of the family's 1533-position model. The record is from RNAcentral.
UACAGAGGGUGCAAGCGUUAAUCGGAAUUACUGGGCGUAAAGCGUGCGCAGACGGUUGCGUAAGUCAGAUGUGAAAUCCCCGGGCUCAACCUGGGAAUGGCAUUCGGGACUGCAAGGCUGGAGUGCGGCAGAGGAGACUGGAAUUCCUGGUGUAGCAGUGAAAUGCGUAGAGAUCGGAGGAACACCAGAGGCGAAGGCGGCGACCUGGACAGGCACUGACACUCAACUGCGAAAGCGUGGGAGCAAACAGG